Molecule: unclassified non-coding RNA, 329 nt
Filed under: Hevea brasiliensis (rubber tree)
Lineage: Eukaryota; Viridiplantae; Streptophyta; Magnoliopsida; Malpighiales; Euphorbiaceae
Source: RNAcentral
GAACAAAUCUCUCUGUAUAAAGAUUUACCAUGAGCUGGAAAACUUCAUAUCUUGGAGGAAAACAAGGAGCCACAUAGUCAUAUAUCUCUCCAAGCUCUUCUCCUAUCACUCUAGCUUCCUCUAUAGCUGUUUUAAGGUCUUGCUCAUCGAGCAAUUUGUCAAAACGUGCUUCAACGGACUUCCUUAUACUUUCAUAACAUUUGUCCUUGUAGCCUUUUCCCUGAGCCUUCAACUUCUGCUGUGUGAGAUUUUUAGAAGAAGUUGUUUUUUUGGCAUUUCUUCGAGGAUUUGCGACUGAAGCCAUAGCACCACCUCCCUCAGCCUCAGCU